UGGGGAAUAUUGCACAAUGGGGGGAACCCUGAUGCAGCGACGCCGCGUGAGUGAAGAAGUAUUUCGGUAUGUAAAGCUCUAUCAGCAGGGAAGAAAAUGACGGUACCUGACUAAGAAGCCCCGGCUAACUACGUGCCAGCAGCCGCGGUAAUACGUAGGGGGCAAGCGUUAUCCGGAUUUACUGGGUGUAAAGGGAGCGUAGACGGCAGAGCAAGUCUGAAGUGAAAGCCCGCGGCCCAACUGCGGGACUGCUUUGGAAACUGCCCGGCUAGAGUGCUGGAGAGGUAAGCGGAAUUCCUAGUG
This 303-nucleotide ribosomal RNA is filed under the name uncultured bacterium. RNAcentral's name for it is "bacterial SSU rRNA". It matches the Rfam family "Bacterial small subunit ribosomal RNA", at positions 355 to 675 of the family's 1533-position model. The record is from RNAcentral.